This 443-nucleotide ribosomal RNA is filed under the name uncultured bacterium. RNAcentral describes it as "partial 16S ribosomal RNA". It matches the Rfam family "Bacterial small subunit ribosomal RNA", at positions 338 to 795 of the family's 1533-position model. The record is from RNAcentral.
CCUACGGGUGGCAGCAGUGGGGGAUAUUGGACAAUGGGGGAAACCCUGAUCCAGCGACGCCGCGUGAGUGAAGAAGUAUUUCGGUAUGUAAAGCUCUGUCAGCAGGGAAGAAAGAAAUGACGGUACCUGACCAAGAAGCUGCGGCUAACUACGGGCCAGCAGCCGCGGUAAUACGUAGGGGGCAAGCGUUAGCCGGAAUUACUGGGUGUAAAGGGGGCGUAGGCGGUUAAGUAAGUCUGGAGUGAAAGGCCGGGGCUCAACCCCGGGACUGCUUUGGAUACUGUUGAACUUGAGUGCAGGAGAGGUAAGUGGAAUUCCUAGUGUAGCGGUGAAAUGCGUAGAUAUUAGGAGGAACACCAGUGGCGAAGGCGGCUUACUGGACUGUAACUGACGUUGAGGCUCGAAAGCGUGGGGAGCAAACAGGAUUAGAUACCCUUGUAGUC